GACGAACGCUGGCGGCGUGCCUAAUACAUGCAAGUAGAACGCUGAAGAGAGGAGCUUGCUCUUCUUGGAUGAGUUGCGAACGGGUGAGUAACGCGUAGGUAACCUGCCUGGUAGCGGGGGAUAACUAUUGGAAACGAUAGCUAAUACCGCAUAAAAUGGAUUAUCGCAUGAUAAUCCAUUGAAAGGUGCAAAUGCAUCACUACCAGAUGGACCUGCGUUGUAUUAGCUAGUUGGUGAGGUAACGGCUCACCAAGGCAACGAUACAUAGCCGACCUGAGAGGGUGAUCGGCCACACUGGGACUGAGACACGGCCCAGACUCCUACGGGAGGCAGCAGUAGGGAAUCUUCGGCAAUGGACGGAAGUCUGACCGAGCAACGCCGCGUGAGUGAAGAAGGUUUUCGGAUCGUAAAGCUCUGUUGUAAGAGAAGAAACGAGUGUGAGAGUGGAAAG
RNAcentral lists this ribosomal RNA (451 nucleotides) under Streptococcus sp. oral taxon 071. RNAcentral's name for it is "bacterial SSU rRNA". It matches the Rfam family "Bacterial small subunit ribosomal RNA", at positions 28 to 471 of the family's 1533-position model. The record is from RNAcentral. Lineage: Bacteria; Bacillati; Bacillota; Bacilli; Lactobacillales; Streptococcaceae.